Venturia canescens is the source of this 380-nucleotide long non-coding RNA. RefSeq lists it as uncharacterized. Lineage: Eukaryota; Metazoa; Arthropoda; Insecta; Hymenoptera; Ichneumonidae. The record is from RefSeq and is a predicted model, not a curated record. The transcript is spliced from 2 exons.
AAACGACAAGGUUUUCUCGAUCUUUCUCGAGAAUAAGAGAGAGUUAUAAGAACGAUGCGAUAGCCAAGCCAACUACAAAACAACUGAAAGACUAACGACGUUCCUCGCCGGUUUGACGUCCAUAAAUCUAUGAAUGAUUCUUGGAAUAUACAACUGACUUAGUGAUAAAUUCUGCAAACAUUUCCUUCUGAAAGGAAAAUAUGGAAUGAAAGAAGGAAGUAAAUUUUUCGUUUAGCUUUCAAUGUCCCGGAAUGUCAACGGAGGGCUAAAAAUAGAGUCAUUAAAUGACAUCAGCUGCAUAAAUAUAUAGAAAUAAAUGUAAUAAAAAGAUUAUAUAAAAAUUAAACGAUUCUAAUGACAAUAAAUAUUGCUGACACUAA